CACUCCUGCGGGAGGCAGCAGUGGGGAAUAUUGGACAAUGGGCGCAAGCCUGAUCCAGCCAUGCCGCGUGAGUGAUGAAGGCACUAGGGUUGUAAAGCUCUUUCACCGGUGAAGAUAAUGACGGUAACCGGAGAAGAAGCCCCGGCUAACUUCGUGCCAGCAGCCGCGGUAAUACGAAGGGGGCUAGCGUUGUUCGGAUUUACUGGGCGUAAAGCGCACGUAGGCGGACUAUUAAGUCAGGGGUGAAAUCCCGGGGCUCAACCCCGGAACUGCCUUUGAUACUGGUAGUCUUGAGUUCGAGAGAGGUGAGUGGAAUUCCGAGUGUAGAGGUGAAAUUCGUAGAUAUUCGGAGGAACACCAGUGGCGAAGGCGGCUCACUGGCUCGAUACUGACGCUGAGGUGCGAAAGCGUGGGGAGCAAACAGGAUUAGAUACCCGAGUAGUCCC
Molecule: ribosomal RNA, 446 nt
Filed under: uncultured organism
Description: partial 16S ribosomal RNA
Rfam family: Bacterial small subunit ribosomal RNA
Source: RNAcentral